UGGGGAAUUUUGCACAAUGGAGGAAACUCUGAUGCAGCGACGCCGCGUGUGUGUUGAAGAUCUUCGGAUUGUAAAACUCUGUCCUUAGUGAAGAUAAUGACAGUAACUUAGAAGCAAGCCCUGGCUAAAUACGUUCCAGCAGCCGCGGUAAUACGUAUGGGGCAAGCGUUGUCCGGAAUUAUUGGGCGUAAAGGGUACGUAGGCGGUUUAAUAAGUCCUAAUUAAAAGGCUAUGGCUCAACCAUAGUAUGGUUAGGAAACUGUUGAACUUGAGUAGAUGAGGGGAAAGUGGAAUUCCAUGUGUAGCGGUGAAAUGCGUAGAUAUAUGGAGGAACACCAAUGGCGAAGGCAACGUUCUGGAAUCAAACUGACGCUGAGGUGCGAAGGAGUGGGGGGCAAACAAG
RNAcentral lists this ribosomal RNA (403 nucleotides) under Fusobacteriota bacterium. RNAcentral describes it as "Fusobacteria bacterium partial 16S ribosomal RNA". It matches the Rfam family "Bacterial small subunit ribosomal RNA", at positions 355 to 776 of the family's 1533-position model. Lineage: Bacteria; Fusobacteriati; Fusobacteriota. The record is from RNAcentral.